RNAcentral lists this ribosomal RNA (497 nucleotides) under uncultured bacterium. RNAcentral describes it as "partial 16S ribosomal RNA". It matches the Rfam family "Bacterial small subunit ribosomal RNA", at positions 28 to 507 of the family's 1533-position model. The record is from RNAcentral.
GAUGAACGCUGGCGGCGUGCCUAAUACAUGCAAGUCGAGCGAACGGACGAGAAGCUUGCUUCUCUGAUGUUAGCGGCGGACGGGUGAGUAACACGUGGAUAACCUACCUAUAAGACUGGGAUAACUUCGGGAAACCGGAGCUAAUACCGGAUAAUAUUUUGAACCGCAUGGUUCAAAAGUGAAAGACGGUCUUGCUGUCACUUAUAGAUGGAUCCGCGCUGCAUUAGCUAGUUGGUAAGGUAACGGCUUACCAAGGCAACGAUGCAUAGCCGACCUGAGAGAGGGAUCGGCCACACUGGAACUGAGACACGGUCCAGACGCCUACGGGAGGCAGCAGUAGGGAAUGUUCCGCAAUGGGCGAAAGCCUGACGGAGCAACGCCGCGUGAGUGAUGAAGGUGUUCGGAUCGUAAAACUCUGUUAUUAGGGAAGAACAGAUGUGUAAGGAGCUGUGCAGAGCGUGACGGUACCUGAUCAGAAAGCCACGGCUAACUACGUG